GUAUGAUCCCCAAUUAGAGACAACAAUUACCAGCUGCCUCUAAUUGGGAAUCAUACCAAAUUAACCAAACAUAGAAAAACUAAACUAGAACCCCACAUAGAAAAUAAUAACUAGGAAAACCCCCCUGACCUACUCUAACAUAGAAAAUAAGAGCUUUCUAUGGUCAGGACGUGACAGCAUCAAAGUGGAUGGUGAUUGAUGGCUGCGACAGUGUGGGCCAAGAGGUGUAUUUGUAUGGGUUCAAAGUGGUACAUGUAUGACAUUUUUCCUUUUCAAGACUGGGAUGAAAGCAACGUUCUUCGACAUAGGCAACCCAUGUUUUGUGCUUGGCUGGUGGAAUAGGCCUUUAUACUGGUGAAUUGUGGGACAUUUGAAAGAGGACAUUGACGUUGAUUAAUUUGAGACCUUUCCAUUGAAUGAACUUUGGAUGUUAUGACAGGUAUUAUAGGGAGUAAUACAGUAACACUUCUCUCCGAGGCCGCACAGGAUAAAACCAUUGUAGGCAGCACAGGAUCAAACUCUUCUAGGCAACACAAGAUCAAACUAUUCUAGGCAACACAGGAUCAAACUCUUUUAGGCAACACAGGAUCAAACCCUUCUAAGCAACACAGGAUCAAACUCUUCUAGGCAACACAGGAUCAAACCCUUCUAAGCAACACAGGAUCAAACCCUUCUUGGCAACAUAGGAUCAAACCCUUCUAGGCAACACAGGAUCAAACUCUUCUAGGCAACACAGGAUCAAACCCUUCUAGGCAACACAGGAUCAAACUAUUCUAGGCAACACAGGAUCAAACCCUUCUAAGCAACACAGGAUCAAACCCUUCUUGGCAACACAGGAUCAAACCCUUCUAGGCAACACAGGAUCAAACUCUUCUAGGCAACACAGGAUCAAACCCUUCUAGGCAACACAGGAUCAAACUCUUCUAGGCAACACAGGAUCAAACCCUUCUAAGCAACACAGGAUCAAACCCUUCUAGGCAACACAGGAUCAAACUCUUUUAGGCAACACAGGAUCAAACUCUUUUAGGCAACACAGGAUCAAACCCUUCUAGGCAACACAGGAUCAAACUCUUCUAGGCAACAUAGGAUCAAACCCUUCUAGGCAACACAGGAUCAAACCCUUCUAGGCAACACAGGAUCAAACUCGUUCAGGCAGCACACUUUUCCAAGCAGCAAAGUAUUCCUUAGAGUGAGACUAAAUGGUGUAGACGGCCCCAGUACCAAUACUGAUCAAGAUGAGAUCAAUGUUAUUACUUGAAAUGCUAAUUUCUUGAAAGCAUGAUUGGGUUUGAAUGUAUCUCAGUAAAAUGUCUUCAUAAUAAUACUAACACUGCCAGAUGCCAAUACUGUCAGAGAAUACAUUUCAGAAAAAAGUAGCCGCAUGUAUUGUAUGCAAAAGCUCUUUUCAGAACUCUCCUCCAGGUAUUGCACUCAGACUCGAGGGUUUACAGCCAGCCAUCCUAUAUGUUCCUAUUGUAGCACUGUUUCUCUUACUCUAAACAGCAUCUAUUUCCUAAAUGGUUCAGGGUGAUGGCACUGCGUCACAGACCUUAUCUAUUGAUACAUAGAGCAAUACAUUCUGCCGCUGCCAAUGUGUCACCCAGCAGCUGUAAUCUCUGGCAAGAUUCCAUUAGAGAGCCUGACCAACAUUCAUUGAAACCAACGUCGCCUAAGGGGCAUUGUGAAAGCUGUCUUCUCCAUCCUUUAUAUCAACCUCCACCUGUCAAUAAGCCUUGGUCACUAGAUCAAGGUCCACAUGUAGCUGCCUCCUUCCAGAUAGUACAGAUUGGCUCCAGUACGACAUUAGAGUUUACAAGAUACCAUGGCUGUGUCCGAAAUGGCACCCAAUCCCUAUAUAAUGCACUACUUUUGACCAGGGUCCAUAGGGCUAUUGUCAAAAGUAGUGCACUAUGUAGGGUAGUGGUUCCCAACUCCAGUCCUCCAGUACCCCCAACAGCACACAUUUUUGUUGUAGCCCGGAUAAAAAACACCUGAUUCAACUCAUUGAGGGACUGAUGAUUAGUUGAAAAGAUUAAUCUGGUGUGCUUGUCAGACUACAAUAAAAAUGUGUACUAUUGAGUGCAGGCCCGACACCAUGAGGGGGCUAAAGUUCAAACUUUAUCUUGCACAGUUUUAGGUCCCUAUAUUAAAAUAGCAAAAAAAGAAUUAAUGAUUGAUUGACAGGUUGGCGCCCCAAAAUCUGUAUCUCUGCUGCACUGUGUAGCUGUGUGUACGCAGCCUUGGCUGAUAGACUAGACGUAACAUUGUAAAUGUAAAUCUGGGACACUCAAAUCAGUAUGAUAUGUUACGUUUAGUUCGGUUGCAUAAGACAGAAGCUACAAAGUUGCAAUAUGCUGAAAUCGCUCCUCCAUUUCUUGGUUGCUAAAAUUCGAAUAGUUUGCUUAAUUUCAGUUUAUGUGACAAAACAAGCAGUCAUAGUGUAGAGAAUCAUUGUACUAUCUAAACUGCUGUGAAAUAUAUUUUCCAUAACCACAACUAUUGUAUUUUCAGCUGUUUGAAGCUGGUGUACAAAACCAAAGGUAAAAGAUGCAGAAACUAAACUUAAGAAUGGGAUGCAUAGAAAUAGUGCACAUUCUUAGACUUGCUUUCAAUGAGAAUGACAGAUCUAUAUCUCAACAUUUCUAUGUGACUUUGGGUCAGAUCACCCAAAAAAUGACAUAUUGCAGGGUUAAGAUAAAAACAUAUUGUACGAUUUGCUAAUUCAUAACAUAUCAUACGAAUUGUAAUUCGUAACAUAUCAUAUGAAAAUGGAUGAUGGACAUUCUCAAAUUAAUACAUACCAUACGAAACGUAACAUAUGGAAUGUCUAGGCUUUACGUACAGACUAACACAAAAUGCUCUGAGACCAGGUUGCAGCAGGGAGCCUAUGGAAAGCCACUGGGCGGUUAGGUAUGACUCCUUUGGGUUUCCAUAAAAAGCGGAAAAAAGGCUUCUGAUCUCUCAUCGCUGAAGUAGGUUAAGUAAAUAGCGUGAUACGCCUUCACCUGUAAUAUUUAAUUUUGAUUUAAAAGGGCAGGGUCAAGUUUACUUUUUUUACCUUUAUUUAACUAGGCAAGUCAGUUAAGAACAAAUUCUUGUUUACAAUGACGGCUUACCCCAGCCAAACCUGGACGACGCUGAGCCAAUUGUGCGCCACCCUACGGGACUCUCAAUCACGGCCGGAUGUGAUACAGCCUGGAUUCAAACCAGUGAUGCCUCUUGCACUGAGAUGCAAUGCCUUAGACCACUGCGCCACAGUUGAAGCUGCUUCACUCUUAGCUACAGCUGUAAAAAGCGUUAGUGUUAUUAUCCUUAGCCUAUUUAGCUAGCUCAAACCAGCUAAUCUGCCACGAUUGAUAUCAAAAAUUGGCAUUGACAAAGUACCAGAACAAAGGAGAAGGAAAGCGAUGAGCAGCAGCAUCAAACCACUGAGGCCGCCGCCAAGCCCAACAGCUAUGAUGCUCCCGAGCUCCAGCUAGCUCUGUGUGCAGAACCUACCCACCCUUCCACAAGCGUCAACAUAAUGCUAAUGGCUCCAUAGCCGCCUCCACCUCCGAGUGAUCCUGAUGAUCUUGGAACAAAAGAGCCAGCCCAGGUUAGCCUAGAAUCCUAUCCUAGCCGCAGGUUUUCUGUCCAAAAACCUUCAUUUAAUAGCAACUGGUUCAUAGGAAGAAAGUGGCUGGAAUACUCGUUUACUGCAGAUGCUGCAUUUUGUUUCCCAUGUCGAAAGUUCUGUAUUGGAUCCAAUGGUAACGUAGACAAGGCCUUCACCCAAGCUGGGUAUUCUAAGUGGAAGAAUGCUAUUGAUAGGACCAAAGGACAUGCUAGGCACGCAUCAAGCAAAGAGCAUUUGAAAUGCCCUGCACUGUGGAAAUAAAAACUAGUUUGAAGUGCAAUGGGAACUUCGGUGUCAACACUUGCAUGUAUUUGUCAUCGAUUGUGGACAUUAUUGAGUUCCUUUUGGGUCGUUCACAGAUACAUGAACACCCCAAAAGGAGCUAAUUUCCCACUUUGACAAACUGUGUUCAGUCAGCACAGAAGAAGCAUGCUUCACCUGAGGAAAGCUCAAUUAAUCCAACUGGCAUUUGAGGAGAAUCUUACAAGAAGAUUCCGGAGAGAAUGGAGAUUGGAGAAUGGAAUGAUCGAUUACUCAGGAAGUUUUACAGAGCAAUCAAGGCAUCUGC
RNAcentral lists this long non-coding RNA (4184 nucleotides) under Salmo salar (Atlantic salmon). RNAcentral describes it as "lncRNA (ENSSSAG00000083339.1)". Lineage: Eukaryota; Metazoa; Chordata; Actinopteri; Salmoniformes; Salmonidae. The record is from RNAcentral.